Molecule: transfer RNA, 85 nt
Filed under: Thermothelomyces hinnuleus
Lineage: Eukaryota; Fungi; Ascomycota; Sordariomycetes; Sordariales; Chaetomiaceae
Also listed under: 2 other names
Description: tRNA-Gln
Rfam family: tRNA
About the family: Transfer RNA (tRNA) molecules are approximately 80 nucleotides in length. Their secondary structure includes four short double-helical elements and three loops (D, anti-codon, and T loops).
Source: RNAcentral
GGUUGUGUAGUGUAGUGGUUAUCACUUUGGAUUUUGACCUGGUGUCACAUUUCCAAUAACCCCGGUUCGAACCCGGGCACGACCU